This 478-nucleotide ribosomal RNA is filed under the name uncultured bacterium. Its description in RNAcentral is "partial 16S ribosomal RNA". It matches the Rfam family "Bacterial small subunit ribosomal RNA", at positions 28 to 507 of the family's 1533-position model. The record is from RNAcentral.
GAUGAACGCUGGCGGCGUGCUUAACACAUGCAAGUCGAACGGGAAUUAUUUUAUUGAAACUUCGGUCGAUUUAAUUUACUUCUAGUGGCGGACGGGUGAGUAACGCGUGGGUAACCUGCCUUAUACAGGGGGAUAACAGUCAGAAAUGGCUGCUAAUACCGCAUAAGCGCACAGAGCUGCAUGGCUCAGUGUGAAAAACUCCGGUGGUAUAAGAUGGACCCGCGUUGGAUUAGCUGGUUGGUGGGGUAACGGCCCACCAAGGCGACGAUCCAUAGCCGGCCUGAGAGGGGGAACGGCCACAUUGGGACUGAGACACGGCCCAGACUCCUACGGGAGGCAGCAGUGGGGAAUAUUGCACAAGGGGGGAAACCCUGAUGCAGCGACGCCGCGUGAAGGAAGAAGUAUCUCGGUAUGUAAACUUCUAUCAGCAGGGAAGAUAGUGACGGUACCUGACUAAGAAGCCCCGGCUAACUACGUG